This 467-nucleotide ribosomal RNA is filed under the name uncultured bacterium. Its description in RNAcentral is "partial 16S ribosomal RNA". It matches the Rfam family "Bacterial small subunit ribosomal RNA", at positions 28 to 506 of the family's 1533-position model. The record is from RNAcentral.
GACGAACGCUGGCGGCGUGCUUAACACAUGCAAGUCGAACGGAAAGGCCCUGCUUUUGUGGGGUGCUCGAGUGGCGAACGGGUGAGUAACACGUGAGUAACCUGCCCUUGACUUUGGGAUAACUUCAGGAAACUGGGGCUAAUACCGGAUAGGAGCUCCUGCUGCAUGGUGGGGGUUGGAAAGUUUCGGCGGUUGGGGAUGGACUCGCGGCUUAUCGGCUUGUUGGUGGGGUAGUGGCUUACCAAGGCUUUGACGGGUAGCCGGCCUGAGAGGGUGACCGGCCACAUUGGGACUGAGAUACGGCCCAGACUCCUACGGGAGGCAGCAGUGGGGAAUAUUGCACAAUGGGCGGAAGCCUGAUGCAGCAACGCCGCGUGCGGGAUGACGGCCUUCGGGUUGUAAACCGCUUUCGCCUGUGACGAAGCGUGAGUGACGGUAAUGGGUAGAGAAGCACCGGCUAACUACGU